UCGACAACGGAUCUCUUCGCUCUCGCAUCGAUGAAGAACGCAGCGAAAUGCGAUAAGUAAUGUGAAUUGCAGAAUUCAGUGAAUCAUCGAAUCUUUGAACGCACCUUGCGCCCUUUGGUAUUCCGAGGGGCAUGCCUGUUUGAGUGUCAUU
RNAcentral lists this ribosomal RNA (151 nucleotides) under Schizophyllum sp. CLF-P. RNAcentral describes it as "5.8S rRNA". It matches the Rfam family "5.8S ribosomal RNA". From Rfam's summary of the family: 5.8S ribosomal RNA (5.8S rRNA) is a component of the large subunit of the eukaryotic ribosome. It is transcribed by RNA polymerase I as part of the 45S precursor that also contains 18S and 28S rRNA. The record is from RNAcentral. Lineage: Eukaryota; Fungi; Basidiomycota; Agaricomycetes; Agaricales; Schizophyllaceae.